AGCCUUCUGUAUCCGUGCUGAGAUUUCGUCACACACCAGACCACAAAGGAUGAUCAAACUUCCCAGAUAAGUGAGGCG
Molecule: microRNA precursor, 78 nt
Filed under: Schistosoma curassoni
Lineage: Eukaryota; Metazoa; Platyhelminthes; Trematoda; Strigeidida; Schistosomatidae
Description: mir-3492 microRNA precursor family
Rfam family: mir-3492 microRNA precursor family
Source: Rfam by way of RNAcentral